Molecule: non-coding RNA, 1177 nt
Organism: Peromyscus maniculatus bairdii (prairie deer mouse)
Lineage: Eukaryota; Metazoa; Chordata; Mammalia; Rodentia; Cricetidae
Source: RefSeq, a predicted model, not a curated record
UCUCACGCCCCGGGAACUGUGGUGGUCCCUGCGGCCACCACCGCCCCAGCCUUUCCUACUAGAAGAGUUGGGAGCUCAGCUCUUCAUAAACUACGACAUCCCCAAGGACAGUUCUGAGGCUUGCCUUUCAGAUGAAGAAACUGAGGCAAGGUGGGGGUAACCAAACUGAGCCUGCGACGCCCCUCUCCCGCCCCGCGCCCAGGGAUCCUGUCACGUGGCAAGAUUCUGUCACUCUCUCCACCAGCUCUCUCCUCAUCGCCUAGCUCGCUUUGGUUAUGGCGUUUCCUCAGCACUAGUGACCCUAAGACACCAGCUUGUAGAACCCCAGUCAGUACCACUCAGGCUACAGAACUGUCACCAGUGACCCUGCUCAGCUGUGAAUCUUGUCACCCAAGAUGCAUCUGGCUCAGCAAACGACAGCUGAGGAGAGAAGACUCUUGAGUGGUGUUGGUAAACUGCCCAGGUUCUUCUCAACGAGCCAGCUGCUGACGGUCGUCCUUGCUCCUGUAAAUAAGCCAACGCUCUCUCGUUCCGAACACAAACCAAGGGUGAUUCCUGGGACUCAGACACUUUGGAAAGAGGCAGGAAGACUUCUGGGUACCGGAGCACUAUGCCUACCUGUCUUACACCGUCUGGGAAAACCGUCAUCAAAGCACCUUGAUCAGUAUCAGGAUGAGGUUUAAAUCAGCUGUAAAAGGAGCGCAUACGUCUUUAGUCCCAGCUCUUCAGGAGGUUGAAGUGGAGGAUUGCUUGAGCCCCAGAGUUCAAGGUCAGCCUGAGCAACAUAGUGAGGAUUCCAAGUGUGUUGUUAAGUAUAUCUGGUCCUGCCUGCAACUGUGAUCCCCAGAAGUUAAUGAUCUGGAGACUUUCAGGGUUGAGAAGCCAAAUUCUCGCUUCUCUAAGUAAGGAAUUGGAAGCAUAGACUAAGUUUAAAUAAUGACAGCAAUUGCCAUAAAUACAAUACCAUAUGUUUACCAUAAGACAACUCAAAUUUAGCAUUACUAUAUAGUCCUAGGCUUGUGGUGGUUUGAAUGCGAAUGUCGAUAGGCUCAGGUGUUUGAAUACUUAUUCCCCAGUUGGUGGCGCUGUUUGGGUAAUUUCAGGAGCAGUGGUCAGAGCUAUAGAGUGAGACUCUAUCUCAAAACAAACAAACAAACAAAGUCGGGCACUUCUUUAA